This 486-nucleotide ribosomal RNA is filed under the name uncultured bacterium. Its description in RNAcentral is "bacterial SSU rRNA". It matches the Rfam family "Bacterial small subunit ribosomal RNA", at positions 39 to 478 of the family's 1533-position model. The record is from RNAcentral.
GGCCGCGGGAAUUCGAUUCAGGCCUAACACAUGCAAGUCGAACGAACUCUGGUAUUGAUUGGUGCUUGCAUCAUGAUUUACAUUUGAGUGAGUGGCGAACUGGUGAGUAACACGUGGGAAACCUGCCCAGAAGCGGGGGAUAACACCUGGAAACAGAUGCUAAUACCGCAUAACAACUUGGACCGCAUGGUCCGAGUUUGAAAGAUGGCUUCGGCUAUCACUUCUGGAUGGUCCCGCGGCGUAUUAGCUAGAUGGUGAGGUAACGGCUCACCAUGGCAAUGAUACGUAGCCGACCUGAGAGGGUAAUCGGCCACAUUGGGACUGAGACACGGCCCAAACUCCUACGGGAGGCAGCAGUAGGGAAUCUUCCACAAUGGACGAAAGUCUGAUGGAGCAGCGCCGCGUGAGUGAAGAAGGGUUUCGGCUCGUAAAAUACUGGGUUAAGGAAGAACAUAUCUGAGAGUAACUGUUCAGGUAUGACGGUAU